RNAcentral lists this ribosomal RNA (292 nucleotides) under uncultured bacterium. RNAcentral describes it as "partial 16S ribosomal RNA". It matches the Rfam family "Bacterial small subunit ribosomal RNA", at positions 505 to 796 of the family's 1533-position model. The record is from RNAcentral.
GUGUCAGCAGCCGCGGUAAUACGUAGGGGGCAAGCGUUGUCCGGAUUUAUUGGGCGUAAAGAGCGUGUAGGCGGCCAGGGAGGUCCGUUGUGAAAACUCGAGGCUCAACCUCGAGACGCCGAUGGAAACCCCCUGGCUAGAGUCCGGAAGAGGAGAGUGGAGCUCCUGGUGUAGCGGUGAAAUGCGCAGAUAUCAGGAAGAACACCCGUGGCUAAGGCGGCUCUCUAGUACGGUACUGACGCUGAGACGCGAAAGCGUGGGGAGCGAACAGGAUUAGAUACCCUCGUAGUCC